RNAcentral lists this ribosomal RNA (300 nucleotides) under uncultured Thermofilum sp. RNAcentral's name for it is "partial 16S ribosomal RNA". The stretch from base 62 to 300 matches the Rfam family "Bacterial small subunit ribosomal RNA", at positions 557 to 795 of the family's 1533-position model. Lineage: Archaea; Thermoproteati; Thermoproteota; Thermoprotei; Thermofilales; Thermofilaceae. The record is from RNAcentral.
GGUGAUAGAGGGGGAGAGGGAGAGGUGAUGGGGGGGGGGCAAGGUUUAGUCGGGAUUGCGUGGCGUAAAUGGGACGUAGGUGGCUGGGUAAGGUGGAGGUGAAAUCCCCGGGCUUAACUUGGGAAUUGGAUUCAAGACGGGCUUGCGAGAGGGUGGAAGAGGGAAGCGGAAUUCCAGGUGUAGCGGUGAAAUGCGUAGAUAUCUGGAGGAACAUCAGUGGCGAAGGCGGCUUCCUGGUCCAACACUGACACUGAGGUGCGAAAGCGUGGGGAGCAAACAGGAUUAGAUACCCGUGUAGUC